AUUUCUAUUAAUAUAGUUUAAGAAAAACAUUACAUUUUCAUUGUAAAAUUAAAUUACAUUUUAUUA
RNAcentral lists this transfer RNA (66 nucleotides) under Ponyalis nigrohumeralis. RNAcentral's name for it is "tRNA-Glu". Lineage: Eukaryota; Metazoa; Arthropoda; Insecta; Coleoptera; Lycidae. The record is from RNAcentral.